GCAAGAAUGCAGCACAUGCAAAAACAUAUAAUAAUGAAGGUGUAUAAAACAUAGCUGUUUUUGGCAAAAAGAAUCAAUUCUUUCUAGUGCCUUAAUUCUGGGGCUACACAUUUGCAGCUCUUACAACUUAUCUGCGAUAAUCUGUCAAAGUACUGCAUGCAUCAAACAUUUGCUAGGAUAGCUGAAAGCUGAAACUAUCCGGCACAAGGACCAUCUAAUUUUCCAAGGCUGUUAGUCACUAUGUGUGAACAAGGCCCUCAAAACUCUACCCGAGCAAACACGACGUUCCAUCUCCGAAUAGAAAGUGAGGCACCCAGCAAAAACUCCCUUUGCAGAGACAACGCCACAUCCUUAAGUUAGUUCUACACCCUUCAUCAGCAUGAAGAAAGAACGUAUGAAAGCAGAAAUUAACAGCAGUCACAAGCAAUAAUCAACGGCAAGCAACACCAGGUAAAGACAUGAAACGACACAAUGCAUGGAACACACACAGUUAGAACCGGGUAAAUAACUGAAUCUGAAAUGAGUAUAAGAAAAGAAAAUGCUUAGGAGGAGAUGAAACCUUGGCACGACGAAAGAGAGCAGCCGAGGCGUCGAGCGAGCUGAACUGCAGCUGAAUCUUCACAAAACUGGAGUGAGGAGGCGAGCUGACCGGGAUGGAAAACAGAUGGAGGCAGAAACAACUGGCUGCUCAACAAAAUGAUGGCAGCGGUUAAAUGCAAGAAAAAGAAUAGGGUCCUGAACACAUGCCUUCUUAAAUUCGAUCAAGGUUUUAUCGGUACAGAGUAAUGAAGCUUGUCAACAUAAUUUGUUUUAUUCUAAUAUAUGAGAAGCAUGAUACAAGCGCAUGCAUAGAUUAAGAAAAACAUCAAUGACACACACUAGUGAGAGGCAAACGUGCCGAGAGAUUGCUGACUAUUAGAUCAUAAUCUAUUUACAACAUGUAAAAUUAGCAUUUUACCUUAUAAAAUUCAGGCUAACCAACUUACCAAGCUAGGAAAGCAAAAGGCAUACAAUGCAUAUAAUCUAUGGAAUACCGAGGCAAGCAAUAGGAUGAACCUGUCUUUGGUGAGGUCUGAAUCUAUACCUAUUUACAGUGUUACUGCACCGAGUCCGUAAAUCUCGCAAACUUGGCUGCACAAAUAUUAUAGGUGUCAUUAUUUUCUCUCAGCCAAUGUAUAGCAGCAGAUUCCCAACUCGAGCCUGCCACUCUUCAAAAUAAAAAUCACAUCCUACCAUACCUCAGAGUCUGUGGUAAACAACACCAGCUCGGACGGCGUCCAUUAGCAGCUGGUCUUUGUCUUCUUCAGCUGAAAGUAAUGGUGAAGCAGAUGACGAGCCAGCGCGUGAGGCCACGCCCUGUUCCUUCCCCCGCUGGUCUCACUCGCCCAAUUCCCUCCCCCUGCUGGGCUUGCCGGUUUAUUCAGAAAAAUAAGAAAGGAACCACAACACUUGCACAAUAUUGCAUAGAUGGGAAGAAAGAGAGAGUGAUAGAGAUCAGGAGCAAAGUGUGAGAAGGACGCAGAGAAGCUCACUUUGGCAUCACCGACGGCGCUGCCACCUCGACCUGAGAGUACCUCUCCGUCUGGAUCCCUACACCCCCACCUCGGGCCAUUGUCCUGCAGUCUUGCCAGCCCCAACUCGACCUGUGAGCGGCUCAUCCAUCCGUGGGCAGGAGAAGACGCUGCCGCCUCGGCCCGUCGCCUUGUAGCCUCGCCCGCCCCCACGGCCAGAUGCGCUGUUGCACGGGGAGAGAGGAGGAAAGACAAGGGUGGCGGCGGCAGCUGGAGAGGAUGAACGGGGGGAGGAGAGGUGGCGGCUAGGGU
Molecule: long non-coding RNA, 1823 nt
Filed under: Triticum aestivum (bread wheat)
Lineage: Eukaryota; Viridiplantae; Streptophyta; Magnoliopsida; Poales; Poaceae
Description: long non-coding RNA (TAES_LNC025352)
Source: RNAcentral